This 2904-nucleotide ribosomal RNA is filed under the name Escherichia coli. RNAcentral describes it as "23S ribosomal RNA". It matches the Rfam family "Bacterial large subunit ribosomal RNA". Lineage: Bacteria; Pseudomonadati; Pseudomonadota; Gammaproteobacteria; Enterobacterales; Enterobacteriaceae. The record is from RNAcentral.
GGUUAAGCGACUAAGCGUACACGGUGGAUGCCCUGGCAGUCAGAGGCGAUGAAGGACGUGCUAAUCUGCGAUAAGCGUCGGUGAGGUGAUAUGAACCGUUAUAACCGGCGAUUUCCGAAUGGGGAAACCCAGUGUGUUUCGACACACUAUCAUUAACUGAAUCCAUAGGUUAAUGAGGCGAACCGGGGGAACUGAAACAUCUAAGUACCCCGAGGAAAAGAAAUCAACCGAGAUUCCCCCAGUAGCGGCGAGCGAACGGGGAGCAGCCCAGAGCCUGAAUCAGUGUGUGUGUUAGUGGAAGCGUCUGGAAAGGCGCGCGAUACAGGGUGACAGCCCCGUACACAAAAAUGCACAUACUGUGAGCUCGAUGAGUAGGGCGGGACACGUGGUAUCCUGUCUGAAUAUGGGGGGACCAUCCUCCAAGGCUAAAUACUCCUGACUGACCGAUAGUGAACCAGUACCGUGAGGGAAAGGCGAAAAGAACCCCGGCGAGGGGAGUGAAAAAGAACCUGAAACCGUGUACGUACAAGCAGUGGGAGCCUCUUAAUGGGGUGACUGCGUACCUUUUGUAUAAUGGGUCAGCGACUUAUAUUCUGUAGCAAGGUUAACCGAAUAGGGGAGCCGAAGGGAAACCGAGUCUUAACUGGGCGUUAAGUUGCAGGGUAUAGACCCGAAACCCGGUGAUCUAGCCAUGGGCAGGUUGAAGGUUGGGUAACACUAACUGGAGGACCGAACCGACUAAUGUUGAAAAAUUAGCGGAUGACUUGUGGCUGGGGGUGAAAGGCCAAUCAAACCGGGAGAUAGCUGGUUCUCCCCGAAAGCUAUUUAGGUAGCGCCUCGUGAAUUCAUCUCCGGGGGUAGAGCACUGUUUCGGCAAGGGGGUCAUCCCGACUUACCAACCCGAUGCAAACUGCGAAUACCGGAGAAUGUUAUCACGGGAGACACACGGCGGGUGCUAACGUCCGUCGUGAAGAGGGAAACAACCCAGACCGCCAGCUAAGGUCCCAAAGUCAUGGUUAAGUGGGAAACGAUGUGGGAAGGCCCAGACAGCCAGGAUGUUGGCUUAGAAGCAGCCAUCAUUUAAAGAAAGCGUAAUAGCUCACUGGUCGAGUCGGCCUGCGCGGAAGAUGUAACGGGGCUAAACCAUGCACCGAAGCUGCGGCAGCGACACUGUGUGUUGUUGGGUAGGGGAGCGUUCUGUAAGCCUGUGAAGGUGUGCUGUGAGGCAUGCUGGAGGUAUCAGAAGUGCGAAUGCUGACAUAAGUAACGAUAAAGCGGGUGAAAAGCCCGCUCGCCGGAAGACCAAGGGUUCCUGUCCAACGUUAAUCGGGGCAGGGUGAGUCGACCCCUAAGGCGAGGCCGAAAGGCGUAGUCGAUGGGAAACAGGUUAAUAUUCCUGUACUUGGUGUUACUGCGAAGGGGGGACGGAGAAGGCUAUGUUGGCCGGGCGACGGUUGUCCCGGUUUAAGCGUGUAGGCUGGUUUUCCAGGCAAAUCCGGAAAACUAAGGCUGAGGCGUGAUGACGAGGCACUACGGUGCUGAAGCAACAAAUGCCCUGCUUCCAGGAAAAGCCUCUAAGCAUCAGGUAACAUCAAAUCGUACCCCAAACCGACACAGGUGGUCAGGUAGAGAAUACCAAGGCGCUUGAGAGAACUCGGGUGAAGGAACUAGGCAAAAUGGUGCCGUAACUUCGGGAGAAGGCACGCUGAUAUGUAGGUGAAGUCCCUCGCGGAUGGAGCUGAAAUCAGUCGAAGAUACCAGCUGGCUGCAACUGUUUAUUAAAAACACAGCACUGUGCAAACACGAAAGUGGACGUAUACGGUGUGACGCCUGCCCGGUGCCGGAAGGUUAAUUGAUGGGGUUAGCGGUAACGCGAAGCUCUUGAUCGAAGCCCCGGUAAACGGCGGCCGUAACUAUAACGGUCCUAAGGUAGCGAAAUUCCUUGUCGGGUAAGUUCCGACCUGCACGAAUGGCGUAAUGAUGGCCAGGCUGUCUCCACCCGAGACUCAGUGAAAUUGAACUCGCUGUGAAGAUGCAGUGUACCCGCGGCAAGACGGAAAGACCCCGUGAACCUUUACUAUAGCUUGACACUGAACAUUGAGCCUUGAUGUGUAGGAUAGGUGGGAGGCUUUGAAGUGUGGACGCCAGUCUGCAUGGAGCCGGCCUUGAAAUACCACCCUUUAAUGUUUGAUGUUCUAACGUUGGCCCCUGAUCGGGGUUGCGGACAGUGUCUGGUGGGUAGUUUGACUGGGGCGGUCUCCUCCUAAAGAGUAACGGAGGAGCACGAAGGUUGGCUAAUCCUGGUCGGACAUCAGGAGGUUAGUGCAAUGGCAUAAGCCAGCUUGACUGCGAGCGUGACGGCGCGAGCAGGUGCGAAAGCAGGUCAUAGUGAUCCGGUGGUUCUGAAUGGAAGGGCCAUCGCUCAACGGAUAAAAGGUACUCCGGGGAUAACAGGCUGAUACCGCCCAAGAGUUCAUAUCGACGGCGGUGUUUGGCACCUCGAUGUCGGCUCAUCACAUCCUGGGGCUGAAGUAGGUCCCAAGGGUAUGGCUGUUCGCCAUUUAAAGUGGUACGCGAGCUGGGUUUAGAACGUCGUGAGACAGUUCGGUCCCUAUCUGCCGUGGGCGCUGGAGAACUGAGGGGGGCUGCUCCUAGUACGAGAGGACCGGAGUGGACGCAUCACUGGUGUUCGGGUUGUCAUGCCAAUGGCACUGCCCGGUAGCUAAAUGCGGAAGAGAUAAGUGCUGAAAGCAUCUAAGCACGAAACUUGCCCCGAGAUGAGUUCUCCCUGACUCCUUGAGAGUCCUGAAGGAACGUUGAAGACGACGACGUUGAUAGGCCGGGUGUGUAAGCGCAGCGAUGCGUUGAGCUAACCGGUACUAAUGAACCGUGAGGCUUAACCUU